Long non-coding RNA from Melanaphis sacchari, 574 nucleotides. RefSeq lists it as uncharacterized. The transcript is spliced from 3 exons. The record is from RefSeq and is a predicted model, not a curated record. NCBI's taxonomy places the organism in Eukaryota, Metazoa, Arthropoda, Insecta, Hemiptera, Aphididae.
GUCUAUAAGUAGAACCUCCAUUCUGACAUUAAAGUCAGUCAUGUCUCCAUCAAGAAUUCUGUCUCAACCGAGUAGUCUACAUCCGGUCACCAGCCUUUCCUCACAGAAGCUCACCACCGUUAUUCUCAAAAGCAAGAGAGUAUUAAUUUAACAGUCUAAAUUGAUUUUUCACUCGUUGUUAAGUUUUAAGAUAGUGUCAUAAACCUUAUUCGAACUAUUGUUUUUAUUUAAUUUAUUUAAUGUAUGUUAAAUUUACAUUUUAAUAUUAUUGACAUCCGGUUAUCAACGCCUAUCAGGCCCUAACACGUGAUAAACGAAGAAGCAAAAAGACGUGCACACUCUUGGCUCCAUCAUUUAUGUUUGAAAGGACCUAACUAUAAACAUCUAAAAAGUUAAUACAUUAUUAUAAGGAUUAAGUAUCAAGUUCAAGAACUCUAGUGUUCUGAUGAUCAAGUUCAGUUUAAGGAUUCAGAGGAAGAAGCACAGUUCUUAGGUUACAAUGCUUGAGAUUCUUUUGAAGCCUCUAAUUUCAUACCAUAGAUUUAUAAUAUUGUAAUUUGUACUUUAAUAUUGU